GACAGAGGUGCCGAGCGUUAAUCGGAAUUACUGGGCGUAAAGCGUGCGUAGACGGUUUUGUAAGUCGGAUGUGAAAUCCCCGGGCUCAACCUGGGAAUUGCAUUCGAGACUGCAAGGCUUGGGUGCGGAAGAGGGAAGCGGAAUUUCCGGUGUAGCGGUGAAAUGCGUAGAUAUCGGAAGGAACAUCAGUGGCGAAAGCGGCUUCCUGGUCCAGCACCGACGUUCAGGCACGAAAGCGUGGGGAGCAAACAGG
This 253-nucleotide ribosomal RNA is filed under the name uncultured bacterium. RNAcentral describes it as "partial 16S ribosomal RNA". It matches the Rfam family "Bacterial small subunit ribosomal RNA", at positions 524 to 776 of the family's 1533-position model. The record is from RNAcentral.